Molecule: ribosomal RNA, 253 nt
Filed under: uncultured bacterium
Lineage: Bacteria
Description: partial 16S ribosomal RNA
Rfam family: Bacterial small subunit ribosomal RNA
Source: RNAcentral
UACGUAGGGUGCGGGCGUUACUCGGAAUUACUGGGCGUAAAGCGUGCGCAGGCGGCCUCUUAAGUCAGAUGUGAAAUCCCCGGGCUUAACCUGGGAACUGCGUUUGAAACUGGGAGGCUUGAGUGUGGAAGAGGGGGGUGGAAUUCCAGGUGUAGCAGUGAAAUGCGUAGAGAUCUGGAGGAACACCGAUGGCGAAGGCAGCCCCCUGGGCUAACACUGACGCUCAUGCACGAAAGCGUGGGGAGCAAACAGG